This is a long non-coding RNA of Lathyrus oleraceus (garden pea), 463 nucleotides long. RefSeq lists it as uncharacterized. The record is from RefSeq and is a predicted model, not a curated record. NCBI's taxonomy places the organism in Eukaryota, Viridiplantae, Streptophyta, Magnoliopsida, Fabales, Fabaceae. The transcript has 2 exons.
AAUCAUGUAAUACCCUUGUCCAACCUCAGAAUUUGAGAGAAGAGAGAGGGAGAACUCGAGAAGACAGAAGGAGUGAAGAUGAGGACCCAAAAUCAACACUAUUUUUCCAUCAUCUCAAGCUUCAAGGAUCUAUUGCAUGUGGAUAUUUAAGCUCUUGAGAGAAGCAAGCUUGAAAGUUGAUCAUAUCAUCAUCUCCAUCAUAGAAUUUCCAGAUAAGCAUGUACGAGUGAUGGAAGAAGCAAGAAGCAGAAGAGCGCAAGAGCUGAGCUGGAAGAUUUUACUUCCCUUGUUUUUUAUCUCGCUGUGUAUUAUGUAUUUGUGUUAUUUAUUACAUGUUAUAUGAAGAACAUACUUGAUGUAAGGUGUACUCAUGUAAUUUGUAUACUAUUGUGUUUAUGUUCAGUAUCAGUAUUAACAGUCUAAAUGAAAUAAUUCUAAACAUAUCUCGUUUGGGUUGUUACAA